Molecule: non-coding RNA, 1091 nt
Organism: Xyrichtys novacula (pearly razorfish)
Lineage: Eukaryota; Metazoa; Chordata; Actinopteri; Labriformes; Labridae
Source: the annotation of a GenBank genome assembly
GUUUCAUACAUCAAUUGUGGUAUCUAUGAGCUACAACAUGAGGUUAAAAACCUAAAAGCAUAAAAGUCCACCAUUUUAACCUAGAGGACUAAUAAAGUCAUCAUAGUAGUUCUGGGGUAAGUUGAGCCAGUAGUUCAACAAAGAAAGUAAAGGAGUCUGAUGAAAGGAUCAGAGUUUCAGUUCAGAUUGUUGAAAUGUUUGACUUUGUCUUUUUAAAAAAUACAGCUCUUUGCUUCAUUCUGUUCCUUCUCAAACAGUUUAUUUUGACAUGCAUAUGUUGUGUAAAUUCAUCUUUGACAUGUCCAGUUGUUUGGUGUACAUAUGUAUUAUUUUGUUCGGUGUUUUUGUUUCCAGUUGUUUUUUUGUUGUUGUUGUUCUUAAAGUAUAAAAAAUAAAAAUACACAUGAAUAUGAAGAAGAGAAUUUUAUUUAGUGAGGGAGGUCUAGGGUGGAGAGUUGGGGCUAGUAGGGAUACGGCACAACUUACCCUGUUCCUAUGGUCAAUUCACCCCAUACACAGGGUAAAUUGACCAUAGGAGACCACUUUCUUUUGGCAUGCUACAUUAUCAAGACAGUUAUGUUUACACUCAUUCUGUUGGUUCGCAGGAACAACAUCCUGAAAUAUAUGCAGAUACACUGGUUAGAGACAAAACUAUGAUUGCCUUGAUGUAGUGAUCCGAAAUAUGAAAAAUGGCUCAUCUUACCCCACUCUCCCCUACUGGUGUGGAGUUAAAACACAAUUUAACAUUGAAAACAUCUUUAAGUUGAACUUGUUCUUAAAGGAAAUAGGAGAGUUACUUUUUCAUGAUUAAAUGGAACAAAGGGAUUUUUUACUGUCAUAACCAUUUAUACCCAUUCAUACUCAGUCUUUGCAGUAAAAGCAGAAGACGCACAGUUGUUUCCAGGAGCUGUUGAUGGCUUUGCUUUAGUAGCAGUUAAUAGGCUCACACUCACCCAAAGUGGGAGAUGACCCAGAGUAGUAUAAGGACAUCACUUUUCCUGUAGGCAAGUCUGUGACAGCCCUCCGUGACUGGUCACAGUAUAAUGGAUGUGUAAUGGGAGGAACAGUGGACUCUGCUGCGGUAAGCAAUA